This is a long non-coding RNA of Rhineura floridana, 1868 nucleotides long. RefSeq lists it as uncharacterized. The transcript is spliced from 3 exons. Lineage: Eukaryota; Metazoa; Chordata; Lepidosauria; Squamata; Rhineuridae. The record is from RefSeq and is a predicted model, not a curated record.
CCAGGGAAAGUCAAAAGUGAGCCCUGAAAGGAGGUCAGCAAUUAGUGCAGCCUUUCCUAACUUGGUGCCUCCAGCUGUUUGGACUUCAGUUCCCAUCAGCCCCAGCAUUGUGCCAUCAUGCUGGCCAGAGCUGAUGGGAGAUGUAGUCCAAAACAUCUGGAGGGCACUAGGUUGGGGAAGGCUAGAAGAGUGGGUCGCCCACUUUCUAGUGAGCACAGAGAAGAUACUCAGACCUGUGAGUUCCCAAUUUGUAGCUCAAAUUCUUGGCCGCUAAGCUGCACCAACUCUUAAGAAGUGACACCGAAUGUUUUCACAGAAGAGGCAAACCCCAAAGCUGGGAAUGGAAGAUGCAUUCUUCCAUCAUGGUGUCGCCAGAUUGACAUCAUGUGUCCAUCUGAGCGGAAGGCACCCCACCCCCACCAACCUGCUCUGUUUGAAGCCACAGAGUCUGUCUGCGAUGAUAUAUGCUGGGACACAGGAGCUUCGAGGCCCGGUAUGAGACUCUCAACCGCUAGGUCAGCUUUUCCUUUCCGAAGGCACAAAAGAGCAGAGCAGAAGCCAAAUUAGCUUGUGAGAAAAUGUGUAUCAAGGCACGGAAAACAGGGCACAAAACAAUCCAGAAGAUCUCCUAAUACUGCCCCACUGGACAACACUGAGCUUGACAAGGGAAAGAAUGCAGGACCGAGAAACAAGAGGAACUGUGUGCAUCACCGUCCUAAGAAGAAGAAGAGAGAGCCAGGCACGUCAAGCCAUUUCUAAGGACGCAGCUACAAAUGCAGCAGAGAGAAGUGUAUCAUUUCAGACUGAAGGGGGUGUGGACGGGGGAAAUGACGUCACAAUUCUGAAUGCUACCCUGUCUAUGAUAACUUUUUAUUCUUUCAGGCUUUUUAAGGUUUGUGUUUUUUAAACUCUGCUUUAAGUUGGUCACAUUGCUGUUUUGUAAGAAUAUUCAUUAGUCUAUUGAUUUUAUAUUAGGAGCCUCUCUCAGAACUUUUUGCAUUUAAGAGCAGGAUAUUAAACAUCCAAAAUAUGUGGAGAAAUUUCCUGAAAACAGAAAACUAGCAGAGCAGGGAGGGGGCUGGGCCAGGAUCUCUCCCUCCAAGUGCUAGUUUUCUACUUUCAACAAGACUAAAAUGUGUUAAAAUGGACAUCAGGACAUUAAAAAUUGUAUUCCUUGUAGGAAUAUAGACUUGGACACACACCUCCUUUUACCAUAUAUCCAUAUUACUACCAACAUUAAAAGCCUGUGAUCACUACAAGCGUCUAGUCCUGCUUGCUGAAAGAAUUACGGGGAUCUGCAGACUUCUGUUAAACACACCAGGUCUUAUGCUUUAAGUUGGAUUCCUGCACUGAGCAGGAGGUUGGACUUGCUGGCCUUAAAGACCCCUUCCAACUCUACUAUUCUAUUGUCUGUUAGAAUCAAAAUUUACUUUAGGCAAGGAGAUGAUGUAGAAAAGUUUAGCUAUCUUUAGAGUACCUUGUUAUGUGAUGGCAGAAAGAAAGUUACAAGACAUUUUUCUGAUUCAAAACAAUGUUAAUUGCAAAGGGUUUUGAAAAACUUAACUGAAUAAGGGAAUUUUGCAUCAUUAGUUUGAGCUAUUUGUAUUUUGGAAUGUCUUGGAUAAGUUGUAACAGCCGCUGGCUAUCAACAAUAACAUCUGAUUGAAUCAACCAGAGGUAUUUACUAAAUUAUUGACUUUUUCAUGCAAAUUCUCACAUUAAUUUUAAUAUGCAACCUGAAAGCUGACAGAUGUGAUUUUUGUAAUAUUACGAGAUAUACAUGCCUGUAAUAAAGUGGCUGACUUUGCUCCAUCUUCCUAUCCUCCAGAUUAAGCCCUCUUAUUAAAGUUGACCAGAGUCGCUGUGUC